GAUGAGUACUAGAAGUAUCCUGAUGCGGUCAUCGUCAGGCUUGUGUGCUGCUCUUGUCCCCGUUGUGGUUUGCAACACCUGAUGUUGUAAGACUUUCUGGUUAUGUCCGCCCCGCUGUGCCACUGGGUUAUUAAGAACGUCGUUAUGGAUGGUUGUCUACACUACAUUAUUGCUUCUCGAUAUUGGAAAACUGUUAUGCGCCUCGGUGGAUUGUGUUGUUGUCGUAAUGUCAUCACUCAUACGCCGCUGGGAAUUUUGAGGCCUGUCAAGCAUCAGGAUUGCGUUAUGAGUUAAAUGCUUCAGCGACGUUUAAACUUGUCUAAGGUGCCAUCUAGAUCAUGAACUUGUCAAGGGUUGCCACUUAGAUCAUGAACUUCGUAAAUAUGUUUUUGGAUCCAAAAUAUGUUUUUGAUCCUUAAGGGUGUGUUUGGUUGAAUGUAUAAGAAGGGAUGAAAGAGGAAUGUCAUAAUUUCUAUAGUGUUUGGUUGAGAGACAAGUGAGGACGAGAUAAAUACCUAAGAAGGGAUGAAAGAGGAAUGCCACAAUUUCUAUAGUGUUUGGUUCAGAGACAAGUGACAAUUUCUAUAGUGUUUGGUUGAGAGACAAGUGAGGGCGAGUAAAUACCGCAAUAAUUUUUUGGUGGCACCGAAUUUUUGUGAAGUUGUAUACAUUUUGGACACCAAUAGAAAAUAGAAUUAAAAAAAUAUAAAACUGGUGUCAUUUAAAUCAGUGUCACGUUAUUAAAAUUUAAAACUAUCAACUAAAAUUGUCUAAUGGAUUAUUUAUGUGGUUUUGUAAAGUUGUGGAGAUUAAACAACCAGUUUUGAAGAUAAGUAAGUGAAAUAGUCAAAUAUAAAACUAGGUUAAGAAUUUAGGUACACUUACGACUAGUUUAGAUGCCGCAAAAUGGGUUAAAUUUUUCUUCUUAUUCAAAAUUAAAUAAUAAGGUGAAUUUAACUACUCUAAUUUCCUCUGUUUUUUUAACUCCCAAACUAUCCCUUAUUCGUAAUAAUAGGAAGCGGUGACAGUUUGGUGGUGAGAACUCAGGUAUCAACAAAAAGAAAUGUAUUUUUGAAAUAUUUUGCUCGUAAUGCCCUGCAAGGUUUCGAUUUCCGUAGCCAGUACAUGUCCGCUCUUGACCCAGGUACUGUGUCACGAACCAACCGACCGUUGAACGGACGUGGAGCACGAACCAUUAAAACAAUCAAAAUCUCAGGGGCUCAAACGAAAAAACACCGCCCCCUUCCCUCGCUUGCGCUGGCACUCCAUCGUGGGCUCGUGGCCCAGGCUGUCGUUCUGUUCUAUAAAGCGAGACGAGUGGGAGCAGGCGUAACCCUAAUUGAGCAUCGCAGAGAUAGGCGUCUUCGUACUCGCCUACCUCCGCGGCUCAAACCUUUCCCCCUUCUCCCAAUUCCUUCCGCCGGCCGCCGCUCCACCCGUACGACGACACCAUGAGGGAGUGCAUUUCGAUCCACAUCGGCCAGGCCGGUAUCCAGGUCGGAAACGCGUGCUGGGAGCUGUACUGCCUUGAGCAUGGCAUUCAGGUAACGAUCCGUCAUUCCCUCCCCCGUUCUCCCUCUGUUGAGGUAGAUCUAUAAUCGGUAUGGGGGUUUCAUCGCUAAUAUUUGCUGGAUUUUUGGUGGGGCUGAAUCCGCCGGAGGAAAUGACGUUUCAAAUCGGUAGAUCUGUACGGAUCUGGAUGCAUGUAAUGGUGGCUACCCGGAUCCGGGUUUGCUAGGUCUGAUCCGGAGAACUGGUGUCUGAGCGAGAUUGCAAUUGUUUUUGAACUGGAAUUUUGAUACGUAGAAUUUGAAUAGGGAUCACCCGAAACCCACGUGCGUGGUAGAUCUGAGUGCCCAGAAUUCGUUUAAAUGUACUGUCAGUUUGGAUCUUUGAAUUUUCAUAGGCUAAGUUCCGUAUUGCCUGUUGAUAUGUGAGCCUUGAUGUACAAAUACAGACUAUAGUAUGUUUAGUGUUAAUUUGAUGUGAGCCUUGAUGAAUUUUCACAGGCUAAGUUCCAUGCCCACAAUGCAUCCAUUCAUACUGUUAUUAAUUCUGUAAAAAAAACGAAUACACGUCACUCUUAGGCACCUUAACCCAAUUUGCAUUUUUCUGUUUAAAUCUGUUAGAAAUGGGAUAGAGACUGGCAUGUUGUUAUGUAGUCCUAGCUGUUAUUAGCUUUAUCUAGGACUAAAUGCUGUUCACAUAUUUCAAGUGUUUGCAAUCGGAGAUUCAAUCAUGGCUCCCUAGGACAUUUGAAUCGUGUGUCAUAGUUUGAAAUAUGAGAUUCAGGCCUGUGUUACCUUAAGAUCAUGCAUCUGUCUGGUCUACUACUGUAGAUGGCAUGUAUUUUUUACAUAGACUCCUUAAGUCGCAUAUUAACACUACUACAUUUGUGUUUUGUUCAGGCUGACGGUCAGAUGCCCGGUGACAAGACCAUUGGGGGAGGUGAUGAUGCUUUCAACACCUUCUUCAGUGAGACUGGUGCUGGGAAGCACGUGCCCCGUGCUGUUUUUGUUGACCUUGAACCCACUGUCAUCGAUGAGGUGAGAACUGGCACCUACCGCCAGCUCUUCCACCCUGAGCAGCUCAUCAGUGGGAAGGAGGAUGCAGCCAACAACUUUGCCCGUGGUCACUACACCAGUAAGUAAUCUGAUCUGAGCGUCAGUUUUCACUGCUCCUUGAUAUUUGCUCUGUAAUGAACAUCUCAUUUAAACCUGAUUCCUUGUUUUGCAGUUGGCAAGGAGAUUGUUGACCUGUGCCUUGAUCGCAUCAGGAAGCUUGCCGACAACUGCACUGGUCUCCAGGGCUUCCUCGUCUUCAACGCUGUUGGUGGAGGAACGGGCUCUGGCCUUGGUUCCCUCCUCCUAGAGCGCCUGUCUGUUGACUACGGCAAGAAAUCCAAGCUUGGGUUCACUGUGUACCCUUCCCCCCAAGUUUCUACUUCGGUAGUUGAGCCAUACAACAGUGUACUGUCCACCCACUCCCUCCUCGAGCACACUGAUGUGGCUAUACUGCUGGACAAUGAGGCCAUCUACGACAUCUGCCGCCGAUCCCUUGACAUUGAGCGCCCAACCUACACCAACCUCAACAGGCUUGUGUCCCAGGUACUGACUUACUGUCUUGGUCUACUGCUUUCGCAUUUUGCCUGGUAAACUGGUUCAAAUACUGGCUGUUGUCUGUAACAACUACCUGUUACUGAUGUUGUACAGGUCAUCUCAUCCCUUACUGCCUCCCUGAGGUUCGAUGGUGCUCUGAACGUGGAUGUUAACGAGUUCCAGACCAACCUGGUACCCUACCCGAGGAUCCACUUCAUGCUUUCUUCGUACGCUCCAGUCAUCUCUGCUGAGAAGGCCUACCACGAGCAGCUCUCUGUGGCUGAGAUCACCAACAGUGCCUUCGAGCCAUCUUCCAUGAUGGCCAAGUGCGACCCACGCCAUGGCAAGUACAUGGCCUGCUGCCUCAUGUACCGUGGUGAUGUGGUCCCCAAGGAUGUGAAUGCUGCUGUGGCCACCAUCAAGACCAAACGCACCAUCCAGUUCGUGGAUUGGUGCCCGACUGGCUUCAAGUGCGGCAUCAACUACCAGCCUCCUAGCGUUGUGCCUGGUGGCGACCUGGCCAAGGUGCAGCGUGCCGUGUGCAUGAUCUCCAACUCCACCAGUGUUGUGGAGGUGUUCUCCCGCAUCGACCACAAGUUCGACCUCAUGUACGCCAAGCGUGCCUUCGUGCACUGGUACGUCGGUGAGGGUAUGGAGGAAGGUGAGUUCUCUGAGGCCCGUGAGGACCUGGCGGCGCUCGAGAAGGACUACGAGGAGGUCGGUGCUGAGUUCGAUGAGGGCGAGGAUGGCGACGAGGGUGACGAGUACUAGAGAAGUUUGCUGAUGACGCAGCAUCAGGCCAGUGUGCUGCCCUUAUCCCGUGAUCUGCCGAGAGUUGCUCCUGCUAUCGUGUUAUGUGUGUCUGUUCUGAAGUAUUGUGUGGUUUACAACACCUGAUGUUGUAAGAGUUGUUAAUUCCCCUGCAUUGCUACCGGGUUAUUGAGAAUAAUUAUGGCUGUUUACGUUGUUGCUUCAUCUCGGAGAUGCUUUACAUUUACCACCUUGUUCAUCUUUUGUCAUCAGUAAAAUCGAGUCGGCGGAUGAUUUUCUUGCGUCUUGUCAUGAGUAUUGAGUAGUAUGGAUUGUUUGAUGCUUUAUAUCACAUUGCAGAAGAUAGUACGAUCUCUAGCUAUAUAUAUGUUCACACAGGAAAGAAAACACUGCAGAAAAUAAAUUAUUUAGGGCUAGUUUGUGAACUCCAUUUUUUCAAGGAUUUCUAUAUUUUUAAAGAAAAUGAUUGAGUCGUCACGAUAGUAAGAGUCGUCACGAUAGUAAAAAUCUGUCACUUUCUAGAUUCUAAAAUAUAUUGACCCUUUUAAUUUCUCCGCUCGUAAUCCUCGUGAUAGCUAGAUUCUCAAGGGAGGUUGUCUACAAACCUAAAAGUAGACUAAUCUUCUGGAGUUUAUAGAUAACUCAACAAAGAUAUAUAAGAUAUUUGAAUUCACUAGAGCUAAGAGGUAGUUGGCUAAAAAAUUGUUAUUGGGAUUAGCUAGCUAACAAACAGUUAGCUAAGAGUAUCUCCAAGAGGCUAGCCAAAUGGCUCGUCAAACCAAAUUUUAGUUAUUUAACAGCAAAAAAGUUAUUGACCAGAUUAGUCAUUUAACUUGUUAAGCCAUCCGACUUUCCAAAUUAGCCCUCACUCUAGCCAAAGUUGGCUAGCCACUCUGUCUAGCCAAGCUGACUUGACUAUUAGAGCAUCUCCAAGAGUCUUUCUAAAGUCCACUCUCUAAAUUAUCAUUUAGAGAGUCAUUUACAUUAAAACCACUUUCUAUAUCUUUUCGAUCUCCAAUAGUCUUUCUAUAUCUUAUUUGUACUCUAGAGAGUCAUUCACAUUUUCUAUAUUUGUCUAGCGAAAAACCAUAAAUAGAAGAUGGCUAUAUUUGAAUAAUCAUUUAGAUAAGAUAUUGGAAAGUAUUUUUGUAUAAAAAUCUCUAUUCAUAUAGAUUAGAAAGGAUAUAAAGAGUCUAUUGGAGUUGCUCUUAAACAGAAUUGAAAUGAGAUGUUGUUUAAUUUUUAUAAAGAGGUAAAUAAAGAGUUAAAUAGAGUAGAAAGUGUAGUCUCUUAUAGAUGCUCAGCUAACUUGUUAAAAGUAGCUAAUUGUUGAAUUAUUAGUUAAAAUGUUUGAAUGUCUUUAGCCAAUUUUUAGCAGCUAAGUAUUAGUAGAGGUGACAAUGUGCUCUAAAUUUUAUAUUAUAAGAUUUAAAAAUCGGAUCGAAUUAGGAUCAUGUCCUAUUUCUAUUAAUUUUUGAACUAAAAUUUAUUUAGAGCCAUAUCAUUUUAUGAAGAAUUAUUUGGAUCACGGUUCAUUACCACCCUUAACUAUUAGCUAUAUUACAUUGAAACACCUCUACAGUCUAUUUAUAACUAUUAGCUAUAUUCAUUGAAACACCUCUAUAGUCUAUUUAUAGAUAACCCGUCUUAUACCAUUCGAUUUAAUCAAAAUGAUUUCGAUCUACAUCAGUAUGUACACUAAACUCGAGUCCAGUCUGUCAUGAGACUUGAAUAAUCAAAGGGCGUGUUCGGCUCGCUACAAGCCGACACUGUUGCAGCUGUUUGGACUGCUGCAGCUGCAAUCCAUAGAGAGAAAAAUACUGUAGAAGCCGCAGCCGCAGCCGGAUUGCAGCCGCAGCAAGCCGCAGCGAACAAGCUCAAAACUGCAGCCUUGUUGAAGGAGCGAAGCAUACGCGACGGCACCGAAUUUUUUGCAUUUUAACCCUUCCUCGAAAAUAAUAUCACGUUUGGAUCCUAAAAAAUUUUAAUGUCAUUUUUAGACCCUUUGCUCGGCGCCAUAGCCUAUAGCGCCGAGGUAACACAGCUCGGCGCCAUAAGCUAUGGCGCCGAGGUAGGUGCUACGCUGGCCCAAACGGACGACGUGGCGCUGACGUGGUACCGAGCUCGGCGCCAUUGAUCUUGGCGCCGAGCUCAAUUUUAUACACAAAGGUCGUCUAGCUCAGUUGGUAGAACGUAAGAUUCUUAACCUUGUGGUUGUGGGUUCGAGCCCCACGGUGAUUGUUUUUUUGUCUUUGUCACUAAUUUAUUUUUUUGUUAUCUAUAUUUUUCGUUUAUGUCGCUCAUUUGUCCGCCCAGAUUUAUUUCUCAUCUAGAUUUUUUAUUUUUGUGACUGAUUUGUUUAUUCAUCUAGAUAUUUUUUGUUUAUUUUUUAUUUUUGUUUUUGUUUAUUCAAACUUUGUGACGCAAUGGCUAUAUAUAUAUAUAUAUAUAUAUAUAUAUAUAUAUAUAUAUAUAUAUAUAUAUCACACCGCCAAAUGAAAGCAAAUCUAAAAGAGAAUGAUGCGCCAGCAUGAUCACAAGUCCAGAACAACAGUUUAUUUAGUAUAUCUCUUAAUUUGGUACAUAUACAGUUACGGCCGACAGAGACAUAAGCAAUUCUAAUCUGACACACUUCCUGUUUCUAUUAUAUUAUUAUAUAAUAUAUGACUAAAAACAUGAAACAAAGGUUUCCCAUGAUCACCAACCAUUUGACAUGACAGCGGAUGACAUCUCUGGAAGGAGGCCAUCCCGAACUCCACCCCUCGCCUGAAAUGCUCCAUCAGGAGGGCCGCUCAAACAAGGGCUCCUGCCUGCGCGCUAAGCGACGAAACAGAACCAGAUUUAGCGAUGGUCCCUAUUGUGUUCAGAUGAUUUUACAAGAAAAUAAAAAAAUUAGCUGAACUCCUUUGAUUUGCUUUCAUUUGGCGGUGUGACAGAGUUUGAAUAAACAAAAACAAAAAA
Molecule: long non-coding RNA, 6830 nt
Filed under: Zea mays
Lineage: Eukaryota; Viridiplantae; Streptophyta; Magnoliopsida; Poales; Poaceae
Description: long non-coding RNA (ZMAY_LNC000115)
Rfam family: tRNA (bases 6038-6110)
Source: RNAcentral